This 229-nucleotide unclassified non-coding RNA is filed under the name Hevea brasiliensis (rubber tree). Lineage: Eukaryota; Viridiplantae; Streptophyta; Magnoliopsida; Malpighiales; Euphorbiaceae. The record is from RNAcentral.
AAGCUGUUCAGCCAGACGAGCCUCGUGCCUGAGUUUGUAAAGUACAACUCAUAAAAACUUGAUUCGAUGCAGUUGUGCUUCCUUUGUGUCAAUGGAAAGGUUUCGUCCUUCUAUUUGAAGUCGAGUAGAGGAGAGGAACACACCUUUGUUCAUGCAUUGUUGAGUUUGUCAAUGGAAGUGUUCCAGUCAGUUACUAAAUAGGAUUCAAAGUGUGUUUUAUGAUUUCCCA